AAAAACAAUUUCUUCCUUGUCAACUGAAGCUCGAUGGAAAAAAGCAAUUUUUGAUCUAAUUAAUCAGAGUGCCCUUAUACUCAAUACAAACUUCUGAACUGAAAACCUACGCGGCUACACAUUUUAGACAAAUGCAGCGAAAUACAUGUGAGCUUUUACGGACGUAUCAAACCAUAAACCACCUCCCAUCGCCCCUCGCUUAUAACUCUGUACAUAGAUGUAGCAUUCUGUUGCUUAACAAAAAUAAUGAUUGCAUGUAUGCCUGCAGAUGCUACACCCAUAAAAGAAAAAAGUGGACAAUUUUGACAAAUCUCAGUAGGGUGUAACCAUCAAUGUUGAGCCUCCUUCUAUAUCUGCACCAUCUUUGUUCAUAAGUAAUUGAAAUGUAGAGUUAAAAAAAAUAUAAUAGAAAAAUGAGUCACCUAAAAGUGGAUUUAAAAAGACUCGCAUGGAAAUGUCAACUCGCAUGGAAAUGUCACGAGGAUUGCUUCCAAUCUUCCGAAACUGAAGCAUGCAUCAUCAUCAAUUCACUUUCAUAUUUCAGGGUCAUUUGGACACAUCAAUGGAACACCAAUUACUUAUAUAAGGUUCAUGUUU
RNAcentral lists this long non-coding RNA (597 nucleotides) under Triticum aestivum (bread wheat). Its description in RNAcentral is "long non-coding RNA (TAES_LNC011259)". Lineage: Eukaryota; Viridiplantae; Streptophyta; Magnoliopsida; Poales; Poaceae. The record is from RNAcentral.